Gadus macrocephalus (Pacific cod) is the source of this 466-nucleotide long non-coding RNA. RefSeq lists it as uncharacterized. The transcript has 2 exons. Lineage: Eukaryota; Metazoa; Chordata; Actinopteri; Gadiformes; Gadidae. The record is from RefSeq and is a predicted model, not a curated record.
ACACAAUAAACACGAGGACUAAAACAAUAGAAGCAGCAGACUUUACAAAUCACAACAGCUCACAACAGGUGAGCACAUAUCUUUAAUAACUGAACAUGUUCUGCGGCCGCUUGGUUCCCAACAGAAUACAAAAAAUCAAGAUUCAGUUUAAAGUAAUUUACAACAUGCAACAUUAUCCCAUAGACAUCUUGGUUAUUAUGAAUAAAAUAUAAAAUCUGCUUUAAAUCAGGUCGCAAAUCAGGAUUAUGACAAAAAUGAUGAUAUAAGAGCCCUUAAGACUUAAACUGAUGAAGUCUGAAAAUAUAUAAAGAUUGACCAUCAAUAGGUAUUUUAUGUACAUUUCGAAUAAUAAAUGUGCUUAUCUAACUAUGGGAGAUCUUAAAAGCCUUUUCAUGGUUUAUCAUGCUAUACAGAGAGAGAGAGAGAGAGAGAGAGAGAGAGAGAGAGAGAGAGAGAGAGAGAGAGA